GGAUGUGCUAGAGGGUUGGCAAUACAGUCUGCUAUGCACAACCACAAGGAUUAAUGUGUUUCAACCCAAGAACUUGUCCCUGUUUCCUCAGGAAGCUCAGCAUGGUGUCACCUCUUUCCCUUCCUGCAGAAUUUCAGUCUCUUUUCCCUCCCAAAGAGCUCGCCUGCUUCCAGGAGUUCUUGCCUAGCAUCAGCCUUCUCCUCAAGGGACUCAGCGCAAUGCUGCCCCGGUUCCAGGCAGCUCCAUCGGUGUCCCCACAUUUCCAGCAGCACCCGAGAUGGUCGCAAAAAGGACAUGCCCUGGCAGCGCUCAGUGUGGAUGCAAUAAGACGUUUCUUCCAGUGCCACUAGACUCCCUGCUCCAAGCAGCGGAGAGGCAGGUGAAAUGAGCAGACAGCCCUUGGCCCUCUUGGCUUCUGUCUCGGGCCUGCCAAUGGGCCCCCUGGUGCAAUUACUUUCUUUUAUUUUAAAUUUGUAAAGGAAGAGCACGGAAAUGGUUUGACGAACAUAGCCUGCACGAGGCACAAGUGGCUAGGAAAUGCAGACCCUGAUCAGUGCAUUAUGCCUGGGAAUGGAGCCCCAGGGGUGGAAUGGGGGCAGCAGGAGAUUUAAAGGCUGGUGUUCCCAGGGAUGCAGGAGGGUGAUGGAGUUUUGCAGGAGGUCGACAGAAUUUGUGGCUUUUAAACUUUUGAUUGGUUGCUCCACCUGUCCCAGUUCCUGACAACCGUCGCCUUCAUGCUGAUGCAGCAGCGGGGACUCUGAAAGUCUUGUGCGUGCUUUCCUGAUGUGCACAUGGCCACUGGGCCAGAUGGAGCAAAAGGAGACUUCCUUACUAGCGAGUGAGGCAACUUCAGUUCGGCCAGAUUGUACGUUCCCUCUUUCUGGAGAGGGUGGAGGCAGAGAGCCAGUGCAGCAGCUUUCUAACCACAGCGGGAGAGAGACACAGACACACUGUGCUGUCAUCCAGCCCCCCCCACACACACUCACACGCACUCUGGACUUCCAGGCAGAAGGGCGGAGUGAGUCAGAAGAGCCGGACCGAUCGUUCUCGCUUACACAGAGAAUUACGAGCCAGCGUGUUGGUUCAGUAGCGUGGCGUGGAAAGUUGUCUACUAGCAACCUUGAAAGACAGUCUGAGACUCUCUCCUCUUCUUCCCAAGGAGUUGCCGAGCACUCAGGACGCCAGCUGAAUCACUUGAGACUGAGCGACAGGGUGAAUAGUAGCUCCUGGUGAGGACGCACUCCUUCUCACAUCCUCCUUCAGGGAGGAGGAGAAGGAUGGAAGGUGUGAGCAGCCCACACCCGACCGCGCUCACCCUCCCCAAGCACAUCCUUGAUAUCUGGGUCAUUGUGCUGAUCAUCCUGGCCACCAUCAUCAUCAUGACGUCCCUGGUGCUGGGCCCGGCCAUGGCUGUCAUCAUCCACAGGGUGCGGACCCACCCCAUACGCAACAGAGUGGUGUGAAAGCAGAGCUCAGGGCCGGGACGGCCUCCCUAAGACUACCAAGAAAAGACAAUGGGUGAUGGCAACAGUGCCCUCAGCUGACUCCAAGAUAGAGGGUGGGGGACCAAGAGCCAGCAGGGACAUGGCAGGAAGCACAGGCCUCUGCUCUUGGGUGCAGAACUCCCUGUGCAUCACCCAAAUGCGCCCAAGAAAGGAGGGUUAAUCACCCAUUCCGACUGGCAACAAAGCUGUGUCCAGAGUCUGGAUGGGUGAGUCCCCUCAGUGGGUGCAGCGUCCCAGUGUGUCCCUGCCUGGAUGUCCCCUCAUGCGCACCCGUCCAAAUGGCUCCCUUGUAUUUACCCCCAGCGAUGCUCAGAAAUGACGGGGAAGCUGCAGGACCAGGCGCCACAAAGGAAAUGUUAAGCUUCCAAGCACGAAGCUCUUGAAACGGUUUCCAGAUGUUGAGAGACUCGCGCCGUGCCGCCCUCCAUUGCUGCGGGGGCUGGCUGGUGACCCGUGACUCCCCAUAGCAGGAUCUCUCACCUAUAUGCCCCAAGCUCCCCCACCAGGAUCGGGGCUGGCACUGGAGAAGAACAAGGAAAGGGGCUCAAUGAAAGUAAUUUAUAUGCAGGGGGAGGGAUCUAUGAAAGAUGGGGCAAAAACCGGGGUUUACAAAGCAUCAUUAACAGUGAAAGGGCCCAUCGCAGCCGUGCUGUGUAAAGACAGCUAGUCUAGAUCUUGCUAGGCAUGUGGUGUCAUUGUUAACAAUCCCAAACCAUGGAUUUUCCUGUAGCCCCUCUGCUGUUCCUUGCCCGAAGAGGAUUCAGAUAACUCAAGCCUGGAGUGAUCUGGACUGAGGAAUGAAGGGAUGGCACAGGGUUGCACUCCGUGGCUGUGGGCUGGGCCCCAAGCAUGGAAUAGUGGGAGAAAGGCCAGGGUAGGUGCUGCAGGUUGGGACUAGCAAAGAAAGACUUUACCUCGCUGUAGCCCUUGCUUGCCAUCGGUUACGAUUCACAGACACUAAAAUUCAACACUUAAAAGUUUGCAGCUUUCAAAGGGUGAGAAAAAGCUGUGGGGAGAAAGGAAAGGGGAGGGUGUGUGCAAUGUACACAGGGCAAGUGUCAAGUGAAUGUAUUUAUAGGACAUGCUUGAGCAAAAUCACCAUCAUGUAGAUUGUGAUCUUGCACCAGUCCAUGGAAUAAAUUGACUUUAUUGUACACAAGUGGAUGCUGUGAAGUUCCGUCCAUACUAAGGGUAUUUUGGGGCCCGCAGCAUCUCGCUCGUUCCAUAAAUCCUUCCUCGCCCGC
Molecule: long non-coding RNA, 2749 nt
Filed under: Pelusios castaneus (West African mud turtle)
Lineage: Eukaryota; Metazoa; Chordata; Testudines; Pelomedusidae
Description: lncRNA (ENSPCEG00000018598.1)
Source: RNAcentral